AUGCUGCAGGUUAUGGCCGGCAUCGACGGCGGUGGGGACGCACCGGCAGCGCGGCAGCCUGGGUUGACGCCCAUGGAGCUCAUCGAGCAGACGGUGAUUACAUGUGGAGUUCGGGAAGAGCAGCUGCAGCAUCAUCAGUACAUGCCUGCUCAUGUACUUGGAGCCUUGGAGGAGCAGAACGAAAAUAUUUCCAAUGUCACGUUGGACAUCUUGACAGCAGGCACUGAUUUAUCCGAGGCAGCAAGUCCACCAAGAAGGACGAAGACGGCAGCAUCAGCGACGACGAUGCGUACACUCUUUUUUAUUUGUUAA
This 312-nucleotide ribosomal RNA is filed under the name Triticum aestivum (bread wheat). RNAcentral describes it as "partial small subunit ribosomal RNA". Lineage: Eukaryota; Viridiplantae; Streptophyta; Magnoliopsida; Poales; Poaceae. The record is from RNAcentral.